GCCGGUGUGGCGGAAUGGCAGACGCGGCAGACUCAAAAUCUGUUGUAGGCGACUACGUGGGGGUUCAAGUCCCUUCACCGGCACCA
RNAcentral lists this transfer RNA (86 nucleotides) under Ruminococcaceae bacterium OttesenSCG-928-N02. RNAcentral describes it as "tRNA-Leu". It matches the Rfam family "tRNA". From Rfam's summary of the family: Transfer RNA (tRNA) molecules are approximately 80 nucleotides in length. Their secondary structure includes four short double-helical elements and three loops (D, anti-codon, and T loops). The record is from RNAcentral. Lineage: Bacteria; Bacillati; Bacillota; Clostridia; Eubacteriales; Oscillospiraceae.